CCUACGGGAGGCAGCAGUAGGGAAUCUUUCACAAUGGGCGAAAGCCUGAUGGAGCAACGCCGCGUGCAGGAUGAAGGCCUUCGGGUUGUACACUGCUUUUAUAAGCGAGAAAUAUGAGGGUAACUUAUGAAUAAGGAUCGGCUAACUACGUGCCAGCAGCCGCGGUCAUACGUAGGAUCCGAGCAUUAUCCGGAGUGACUGGGUGUAAAGAGUUGCGUAGGUGGCAUAAUAAGUAGCUAGUGAAAUCUGGUGGCUCAACCAUGCAGAAUAUUAGCUAAACUGGUAAGCUCGAGACCGUUAGGGGUAACUGGAAUUUCUAGUGUAGGAGUGAAAUCCGUAGAUAUUAGAAGGAACACCAAUAGCGUAGGCAGGUUGCUGGGACGGUUCUGACACUAAGGCACGAAAGCGUAGGGAGCAAACGGGAUUAGAUACCCGAGUAGUC
RNAcentral lists this ribosomal RNA (442 nucleotides) under uncultured bacterium. RNAcentral describes it as "partial 16S ribosomal RNA". It matches the Rfam family "Bacterial small subunit ribosomal RNA", at positions 338 to 795 of the family's 1533-position model. The record is from RNAcentral.